AGAAAAAGCCAUCCUCAGCGCAUUCUAUAUGACAUAUAUAUAUAAUUUAUUUCCCCUAUAUAUAUAAAGCUCUGAAACCUGAGAACUCUCCAGACCAGAGGUGACUCGGCCAUUAAAAAAUUGCAACAAAAGCAACGUAAGCUAAACUAAUCAAGCUGUUUCCCGGCGAUCCUGACGGCGUUUUCCAGUUUGAUGGACCCUCACGUAGCCAGCAACCAAACAGAUGGCCAAUGGACAAACGAGAAGCAUCUCCAUUUCAUAAACUCAAUGGAGGCAACUUUUGUCCGCACAAUGCUCGAAAAUAACGGUCGUUUCCUCCGUCUCGACCGUUACUUGCCGGACAGCUCAGAAUCGACCUUAGAUUUGAAAUCGCAGAGACCAAAAAAGCAUAAAAUCUCAGUGUUUUUCAGUUAGCUCUUGUUGGAGUUACCGAGGCUUGUUUGGCUGUUUUUCUUUUUCCAAUAAAAUUGCCCGCUGGAGUUUAAUUUGAAGCCUAACAUGCAAAAUGCGAAAUUCAGUUUUUAAGUUUUGACCAGCCGUCCAAACACACCCUGCAAAGAACAUUUAAAAUGUCGAACAUGCCAUUUGAAUUGAAGAUAUUUCUUUGUGGGGAUGGUACAGUCAUUCACUUUUGCACUUUUUGAUGAUUUCUUUAAAAAAAGAAUAAAAAAAUUGUGGGUUUUGUUGUGUUAGAUCAUAUGGUUGGUCCAAGAAGCAGAAUGGACGGCAGGACCGACCGGAAAGCAAGAAAAUUAUCAUCUCACCGCCACGAUCCAUCACAACAAGAUCAGGUGGUCCCACAGCUGGAGAACAGAGGUGGUGUUAAAGACGAAAGAGACCCUCUUAACGUGGCUGUUGCAUCUGCCAAUAGCAAUUGAGAGAGAUUCUUCAUCUAGCUCAGCUAGCCAGUGCAGUGCUUCUUUUCUUUUAUUUUUUACUUUUUUAUAUAGUAUUAAUAUUAUUAGGUAAUACCAGGAGCAAUAUUACCUAAUAGUAGGAGAAUAGUUUAAUUGGCUAAUAUUAUUAGGAGCGAUCUCAUGAUCUAGACAAGGAUUUAAUGUUUUGUGCAAAUUAGUAUCCUUUUUGUGAUUUUUUAUAUGGUUUUUAUUUUGUUACUGUACGGUCGGUCCCAUUAAAAAGUAAGUUAGGAUUAUCAAAUUGUUGAUCAUUAUUUAUAUAUUAUAAAAUUAUGAAUUUGUAUAAAACUUUUGUUAGUAAAAAGGCUGACGAGGAGAGAAGGAAUAAGGAGGAAUGGAGGAUAGAGACGUCAAUCUUAAUCUGUUUAUGUAGAUGAUAAAGUUGGUUGCUUAAUCUUUUCAUAAAAUAAUAAUGCAAAGCCAAUGCCACUUCUUAUGAUUAUGAUGAGAAAUGCUACCUUAUUUUAUUCA
Molecule: non-coding RNA, 1388 nt
Organism: Jatropha curcas
Lineage: Eukaryota; Viridiplantae; Streptophyta; Magnoliopsida; Malpighiales; Euphorbiaceae
Source: RefSeq, a predicted model, not a curated record